GAUGAACGCUCGCGAUAGGCUUAACACAUGCAAGUCGAGGGGUAACGUGUUGGAAGCUUGCUUCCGAUGACGACGACCGGCGGAUGGGUGCGUAACGCGUAUGCAACUUGCCUCACAGUGGAGAAUAACCCGGAGAAAUCCGGACUAAUACUCCAUACACUCUUAAGUACGCCUGUACAUGAGAGGAAAGAUUUAUCGCUGUGAGAUAGGCAUGCGUCCUAUUAGGUAGUUGGUGAGGUAACGGCUCACCAAGCCGACGAUAGGUAGGGGUGCUGAGAGGCAGAUCCCCCACAUUGGGACUGAGACACGGCCCAAACUCCUACGGGAGGCAGCAGUGAGGAAUAUUGGUCAAUGGAGGAAACUCUGAACCAGCCAAGUCGCGUGAAGGAAGAAUGUCCUAAGGAUUGUAAACUUCUUUAGCGAGCGAGUAAGGACUUCCAAGUGAUGGGAGUUUGAAAGUAGCUCGAGAAUAAGUAUCGGCUAACUCCGUG
Molecule: ribosomal RNA, 491 nt
Filed under: uncultured bacterium
Lineage: Bacteria
Description: partial 16S ribosomal RNA
Rfam family: Bacterial small subunit ribosomal RNA
Source: RNAcentral